RNAcentral lists this ribosomal RNA (610 nucleotides) under uncultured bacterium. RNAcentral's name for it is "bacterial SSU rRNA". It matches the Rfam family "Bacterial small subunit ribosomal RNA", at positions 108 to 714 of the family's 1533-position model. The record is from RNAcentral.
GAGUAAUGUCUGGGAAACUGCCCGAUGGAGGGGGAUAACUACUGGAAACGGUAGCUAAUACCGCAUAACGUCUUCGGACCAAAGUGGGGGACCUUCGGGCCUCACACCAUCGGAUGUGCCCAGAUGGGAUUAGCUAGUAGGUGGGGUAAUGGCUCACCUAGGCGACGAUCCCUAGCUGGUCUGAGAGGAUGACCAGCCACACUGGAACUGAGACACGGUCCAGACUCCUACGGGAGGCAGCAGUGGGGAAUAUUGCACAAUGGGCGCAAGCCUGAUGCAGCCAUGCCGCGUGUAUGAAGAAGGCCUUCGGGUUGUAAAGUACUUUCAGUGGGGAGGAAGGCGAUGUGGUUAAUAACCGCAUCGAUUGACGUUACCCGCAGAAGAAGCACCGGCUAACUCCGUGCCAGCAGCCGCGGUAAUACGGAGGGUGCAAGCGUUAAUCGGAAUUACUGGGCGUAAAGCGCACGCAGGCGGUCUGUCAAGUCGGAUGUGAAAUCCCCGGGCUCAACCUGGGAACUGCAUUCGAAACUGGCAGGCUAGAGUCUUGUAGAGGGGGGUAGAAUUCCAGGUGUAGCGGUGAAAUGCGUAGAGAUCUGGAGGAAUACCGGUG